This 22508-nucleotide long non-coding RNA is filed under the name Populus trichocarpa (black cottonwood). RNAcentral's name for it is "long non-coding RNA (PTRI_LNC000242)". Lineage: Eukaryota; Viridiplantae; Streptophyta; Magnoliopsida; Malpighiales; Salicaceae. The record is from RNAcentral.
UCACCUUCUCCAGCGCCAUGAUCUCUCCAAGUGUAGUAGCGGCAGCAAUGGCUGCUCUCAUGAUGUUUCUUUUACUCACUCCACCUUCUGAGGCUGCAAUUUCUUGCAGUGAUGUAAUCAAGGACCUGAGGCCUUGUGUGAGCUACCUCAUGAAUGGCACUGGGAAACCACCUGCUGCAUGCUGUUCAGGAAUCUCAGCUAUUCAAGCUUCUGCAUCAACCACGGCUGAUAAGCAGGCAGCUUGUAACUGCAUCAAGUCAGCUUCCAAGCAAAUAAAUCCAAGCCCCCAGUUAGCACAGGCUCUUCCAGCUAACUGUGGAAUCACCUUGCCUUUCACUGUUUCACCCAAUGUUGAUUGUUCCAAGUAAGAUACAAAUGCCAACUCUCUCACUCUGAUGACUUCCAUCAAUGUCUGCUCUUUUCUUUUCACUGCAGCUACCUAUACAUCUCUAUGUUAACCAAAAUUUGUUCCUUUUGCAGGAUUACUUAGUUGAAAUGGAAAUGGUCUGGUGAAUGCUUUUCGAUCCUAUAUAUUUCAAGUGAAAUAGAAUAGUUGAACCUCAUUUCAUUCAUGUCUGCCUGUGUGUAUGGGAAGCUAAGGAAAAAUCGCAAAACAAAUAAUUUAUUGUGAAUGUGUUAAUUCUAUUAUAGAUGGCCUCCUUAGAAUCAAAUAUAGAGAAAUUCAGUCUCAAUGUAAGAUCCUUAAAAUACCAAAAAAGAAAUAUCCAAUAUAUGAAUUAUUUAAAUUAUAUGAGACAACACAAGACAUAGCUUUAGCAAAAUAAUGAUAGCAUUUAGUAAUUCGUCGCUAAUGAAUUGUUAGAGGAUGCACAUCCAUGCCAAAAAGCUCAAGAUAAUAGGUGGAUAAGCCCUCUCAUAUUAUAAGAAGUAACGAGCUUGAUGGUCUCUAGAAUAUUGUCUUUUUAAAGAGUUACGUCAGUUUUAUUUUUCUUUUUAAUUUUUUUUCAAAUAUAAUCUUUUUAUGUAUAAAGAGGUCAUAAAAUAAUAGAUAAAGAAUGGGCCGGUUUCAACAAUCUCAAUUAUUAAAUGGAAUAAUAAUAAAAACCCUCUAAUAAUUUGAUUUGAAUUUUACUUUCCUUUUAUAUAUUCAUAAAUUAUACUUUACAUCACGAGUCAAGAAAAUACAAUAUUAAAGAUGUAAAUUGUUAUUAAUCAUGUAAACUACAGAAUAAAAAGUUUAAUUUAUAAAAAUAUAGAGAGAAAGUGAAAUAAAAAUCAAACUAUAGAAGGUUUUUUGUAAUUUUUUUUUAUUAAUAUUGAUUUUGAUAAAUGUAACUAUUUAUCUAAAUUGAAAACAUAAGAGAUGAUCUAUCUGGAAAUUUUAUAAUAUUUAAGUUGUAAUAAUUAAUAGUUACAAUUUUAUUUUUUUGUGUUUAUUUUUUUAUAUAUAUUUCAUAUAUUUUAAGUAUUGGUAGUUAUAAAAUAAGUAUCUUAAAAGUCUUCGUAGAUUAAUUAAGUAUUUAACAAAAAGAAAAAAAAUACCAUCACGAAUGCACCUAUUCGUACAGUAAGAACUAGAUAAUUCCCUGCACUACCGACCAUAACUUUUUUACAUGUAAAACAGUUAUGCCCAAAUUAAAAAAAAUUCUUCGAGAAUGUCAUUAAAUUCAACUCAACAUAUCAAACAUCAAACCUCUCAAUUAUACUAUUUGUUUAACUUGAGCUUAAAAUUAAAUUGUAUAUAAGUUGUCCUAACAUGACCCGGUCGACUUGACGAGUUAAAAGAAAUUUGAACGACUGGUAAAAACUUGAUAUUGAUUUUAAAAAUAUUUUCAAGAAGACAUCUUUUUUAAAAAAGAUUUUGAGACGACGACAUAUUGGAUAAAUCUCGAUCAACCAAGGUUAACUCAUCAAACUUGCGACUUGGAUUAUGAACUUCAUUGAGUUUAAUAACUUAGUUUUUUUUUAAGAAAAACUAUUUUUAUUUAAUUAUAUGAUAAAAAAUAGACGCCUGCAAAACAGAACACCAACUCAAUACCGAGAUAUUUUUCUGAGACUAUGAUAACCCUGUAUAAAAAAAACUAAAAUAAAUAACAAAGUUGAAUGUCCAAUAAACACAAUGUUGAAAUAUGAAAAAUAAAAUAAGAAAAAAGAAAGAGCAAAAGAGAAAAAGCAAACAAUAAUUAUUAGAGCAGUAACAUAGUAACAUGGUGAGGAGAGUAACAAUGAUUUUCCUUUUCAAUUAGUUAUCGUUACUAGAUAGCUUCCCAGUGCUUUGCUGCGGGCCGAGCCGAAUUUUUUGAAGCGUAAAAAGACAAUGCUUAAGUGCUAUAAAUGUAUUUUAAAAAAGAAAAAAAUAUAUUAAAAACUCGAUAUUAUAGAAAGAGAACUAAAAAUAAUAAUAAUCGUCAAUCUUCAAGAAUCAAAACGAUGAAAGAUGAAAUUGAAAAAAAAUCAAUGAAAAAAAAAUUCAAAAAAUAAUAAUACCAGCCAGCAAACACAGGUGAAAUUGAAAAAAAUCCAAGAUUGUAGAUCCAAUGAUAAAAUUGAAAAUAAAUUAAAAUUUGAUAAAAGAACUAAAAAUAAAAAUUUAAAAUAAAAACAUUGAGGGUCAGAACCUCAAAUAUCAUCAAUUAUUGAAUUGAAGGGCAAAAUUAAAAAAAUUUAAGGCCAUAAAUUCACAAAAGAAUCUAAAUAAAAAUAAAAAUCAAGAGAGUGAAGAAUAAAUCUGAAAAAAAUAGAAAACAAUUGAAAAAAUCAAAAUCAAAAUGAAAAUACAUUAUUUUAAAGUCAUGUUCAACCUGAUAAAUUGACUUGUGAUGUAGGGGAACAGGGCUUAGGCCAACUCGGGUUUCAAAAGAAAUUGGAAUAAAGCAUGAAAAACAAUAUUGGUAGUAAGUGUUUUUUGUUUUUUAAAAUGAAUAGAAAAUCCCAUAGAAAAUGAAAAAGAAAGUAAGAAAAUGUAAAUACCUAAAAACAAAAAAGAAGAAGAAGAGAAAAUAAACUUUUCCAACUAAUUAAGGUGACUAUUUACCUUAAAGGGAUAAUCUAUGGAUAAAAUAAAAUGAAAUGUUUGGUGAAUGUAUUUUAAAAAAAUAAAAUUCUGAAAAUACUUAAGAAAAAAAAUACAGAAAUGUGAAUAAAACUUGAAUGAAGGUGAUCUUGAGUAAUAAAAAUAGAGAAAUAUAAUUUAAUGAAAUUGAAAAUAGCUAAAUUUAAAUUUAGCAUAAACAAACAAAAAACUUAUCAAGGAAGCACCAAAGAUACAAGGUAGAGGCAUAAGAAGAAUUGAUUACAUUGUUGGCUGUAAGAGCAUCUCCAAUGCAAAAUGCUAAAUUGAAGAGCCAAAUUGAUAAAAUGAUUUUUUGAAUAGUAUAAAUAUUUUUUUUUUGAUUAUGUGCAUUCUAAUGACGAAAAGCUAUUUAAAAAAGCCAAUAAUAUUUUAAUAUAUUUCAUGUUAAAUUAAUUUUAAUAUAAUUAUAUAACUAAUUUAGAUAUUUUAUAUAUAAUAUAAUUAUGAUGUUAUUAAUUAUAUGAGUAAUAUGAGUAAUUUAUAAAAGUAAUAUAAAAUUAAUGAAGUAAUAUGAAAGUUAAAAGAUAUAAUUUAAAAUUAAAAUUAAAAUUAAUUUAUAUGAAUAUUUUUAAUUUUCAGUUUUAUAUGUUACUGUUAAAAAAUUAAUUUUUUAAAAGUAAAUUCAAAUUUAAAAUUUGAAAAAAACCACCAAUAUUUUAAAUUUUGAUUUUCAAUUUUUUUUUAAAAAAUUCAUGCUUUGAAAAAAUGACCGCCACCAUUUUAAAUUUAAAAAUUUUAAAUUUUGAAAAAAUGACCGUCAACAUUUUAAAUUUAAAAAUUUUAAAUUUUAAAAAAAUAACUGUCAACAUUCUAAGAUUUCAAAAUUUAAAAAAAUAAUCCAUCUAUAAAUAUUCUCAUAUACCUUAACAUUUUUUCUCAUCAUUCCAUUUUUUUCUCUCGAAUCAAAAAUAUAUUUCAUUAAAAUUCAUCAUGAAUCAUUCUAAUUUUAAUUUUUAUGAUGCUUUUGAUUUUGAUGAUGACACUCCUGUGUUUGUUUUUCACAUUGCAACCCCUAUGGUUGCUGAAGAAGAAUCGAAUAAUCAAGGGUGGAGAACAAGGUAUCGUGGCUCUAUUCUUGUUCACAAUAUUGUCAAUCGUAAUAGAAAGGAAGGUGAGUUAAGGUUAUAUAAUGAUUAUUUUGCUAAAAAUCCUAAAUUCACUGAAACUCAAUUUCGAAGAAGAUUUAGGAUGAGUCGUCGUCUUUUUCUUCGGAUCACAAAUGCAGUGGAAACUCAUAAUCCAUAUUUCAAACAAAGGACAGAUGCUCUUGGUGUUCUUGGUUUAUCUUGCCUUCAAAAGGUAACUGCAGCUCACAUAAUACUUGCAUAUGGUAUUCCUACAGAUCUUACUGAUGAAUAUCUUCAAAUUGGAGAAAGCACUGCGAUAGAAAGUCUUAGAGCUUUCAUCAAAGCAAUCGUAGAAGUUUUUGGUGAUUGGUAUGUAAGGGCACCAAACGAGGCCGAUAUUUGUCGAUUAUUAUCAAUUGGAGAGCAACGUGGAUUUCCAGGGAUGUUAGGGAACAUUGACUGUAUGCAUUGAAAAUGGGAGAAAUGCCCAAUUGCAUGGCAUGAGAUGUAUACUGGUUAUUGUCGUGAACCAACUAUAAUUCUAGAGGCGGUGGCUUCACAAGAUCUUUGGAUAUGGCAUGUGUCACGGGGUAAUUUUUCGCUCCGCGAAUAAACCCGUGCGGCAGCCUAGUGCCUCACUAGACUCAGUCUUCCCUCGCCAAUCCCACUCGUGUUUGCCUAGUAACUAAGCAAGCAGAAUACACAAGUAGAAUAAGAUAAUCAAAGUACACAACAAGCUUUACAGGAACUCUUUCCCAACCUUUAUUGAUCUCGUACACAAAGGAAUUAUACACAAAUCCGUAAGUGUGCUAUGCACAAAAAUUGCAUACUACACCAAGCUACCUCUAACUAGUGCUCUACAUGUUCUUGCAUGCCCCUACAUGCUAAACAUUCCCCACGCAUGUUGCUGCAUGUCUAUACAUGCCGCCCCCUCAACCAAAAGCUACAAUAAGUAUUUAUAGACAAGCAUUUACAAGGCACACCCCCCAUUUCUACUUUUAAGGAAGUAGUGGGACACUAUCUCACCUAUGUUCACCCAUGAACAUAGUGGCCCCAUUAUCUACCAAGUAGUGGGUAGUUUUCCCCCAUGUUCUCCAUGAUCUCAGCAGCUUGGAGAGCACCUCAGUUAUGCUCCCACAUUUUGCCCCCAUGAUACUGCCACUUCAACCACGUUCUGCCCCAUGAUCCUAUGAUCUAGGAAGACCAUGUCUGCCACUAGCCCACGUUUUGCAUGCCCACCUGACAGCCCUAUCUGCCAGCUCUUGCUUUGUCAGCUGUUGAGUCACUCGUAUGCCUUGGACAGUCCUUCGUCCAAGUUUUAGAUCAUGCCAAGUCGAGCCCCUGACUUGCACAAGCUGUUGCGCGCUGCCGAAUUUGCAUCUGCGUGCAGGCUGCCAAUUCCCGCAUUGCCGAAUUCGCAUCUGCGUGCAGGCUGCCAAUGUCUUCGCUGCCGAAUUCCUCGAUAGCCCCAGUUCUCGUCAGCCUAUGCCCUUGACGAGUUUUUCUGCCUGGCUUGGACAUUCCAUCGUCAAGCCCAUGUUCGUCAACAAUCUGUGCUGCCGAUUUUCCUUUGACGAACCUACAGCCGCAUAAAUUUGCGCUGCCGAUUUAUCCCACUGUUGGCAUGCCUGGCAGCACCCUUAGGCACUGUUUUGGACAGCCUGCCGAAGUGUGCACCUCGUGCACGUUUAACACUGUUACAACAUGCCUUUUUUGGAAUGCUUGGAUCAUUAAAUGAUAUUAAUAUUCUUGAUCGGUCACCUAUCUUCGCUGCACUUGCUGAAGGUCGUACUGCUCCUGUCAAUUAUACAAUUAAUGGGCAUGAAUAUACAAUGGGAUACUAUUUAGCAGAUGAGAUUUAUCUUAAUUGGUCAACUUUUGUUAAGACAAUCCCAAGACCAUUAGGAGCAAAGAGAAAAUAUUUGCAAGUAAGCAAGAGUCUGCAAGAAAGGAUGUGGAGCGGGCAUUUGGGGUGCUCCAAUCUUGUUUUGCAAUUGUACGUGGACCUGUUCGAUACUGGGAUGAAGAAACGCUUGCAAAUAUUAUGAAAGCUUGCAUAAUAAUGCAUAAUAUGAUUAUUGAGGAUGAAUGAGCAAUGAACCUUGGAUUUAACCAUGAACGUGAAGUCAAUUCCUUUAUAUCAGUGUCACAUGGUGAAAUACCAGAACUACAUGAUUUUCUUCAAAUUCAUAAUCGAAUCAGGGAUAGAGCAACUAGCUCUCAACUACAAGAAGAUUUGGUUGAACAUUUAUGGGAACAAUAUGGUAACUAGUAGAAUCAUUAGCUUUGAACUUCUUAUGUCAUCAUAAUUUUCAAGUUUUUUAUGUUUUUUUUCAUUAUGGUUGUUAUCUUUUAAGUUAAUUAAUCCUACUUAUUGUUGUUAAGUGUUAGAAGAACUUCAAAAAAGUAUUAUGAAUUGAUACCACUUUUAUAACAAUAUAUUUAAAAUAACCAAGAAAUUUCUAAAUAUUUAAUUAAAAAUACAUUACAUUAAACAAUAAAUAAAUCUAGUUAAUUAAAAAUACAUUACAUUAAACAAUAAAUAAAUCUAGUUAAUUAAAAAUUAAAACCCCUCUUUUGCAUAAUUUCUAAAUUUUUAUUUUGAAAAUACGCUGCAGAAAUUGGAUCCAAAUUAGAAAUAUCCAUUUUCAUAAUUUGUUCUUCUUUCUCAAUCCUGUCCAAUUUUUGUUUCUCUUGACUUUGUUGAAUCAUCAUAGCUUGUUGCUCUAACAUAAUCUUUUUGUCUUGUUUCUUCUGAUCCUCAAUUUCAACUAGAGUAUCCUUGAAUUAUUGUAAGAGAUUUGUUACAGUUGUCUCCCCAACUUUAUCUUUUCCUUGUUUACGUUUAAGUCGUUCCUUUGCAGCCUUCUGACCAAUUGGUCUAUCUUGAUAAAUCAACGAUUCACUGUCUUCUCCUAAACUAACAGAAUCAGGGGUAGAUGGAGCUGAUGAAAUCGAACUUGCAUUGACAUGACUUUUUUGUUUCUUGUUUGACCUUUGAUGUUGACUUGCACGCUCAAAUUGCCAUUUGGGUUAUUUUCUUAAGAUAACCCAACAAUGUUCUAGUUGAAAUCAUUUGCCAACGCAAGAAGCAUACAUUUAUCGAGCAUCAUUAAUUUGGUAAGUAAAAAAUUAGAGAAAUUAAAUAAUGUUAAAAUAUAUGUUAAACAAUUUAACAUGAAAAUGAAUAUUAAAAUUACCCUUGAUUCUUCGGUCAUUCCACUUUGCUGACGAUUUUCAAUUUGAGUAACAAAUCCAACAAAUUUACCGACUUCUCUAUUUAUUUCUUGCCUUCUAUUUGAGAUGCUUAUUUGGGAACAAUUAUUCAAGUUUCCUCCAUUCUCUAUAAAGUAAGCAUGUACUCGAACCCAGAACUAUUUUGUUUGUUGUUCAACUCCUGUAAUUGGAUUUUUACUUGUAUUUAGCCAUGCAGAGACAAGUAAACAAUCUUCCUCUGGUGAGAAGUUUUUACUUCUUUGUAAUUUUUUUAUUGUAUGGACAUUUAAAUUCGAGUAUGUUAAGUCAUCAAUUAACUGAUUAGAAUCACUUUGUUGAGAGAGAAUAUCUUCUGACUCACUCAUAAGAAAGUUGGUGAAAGAGCUUGGAAAAUUUGAAUCCAUCUACAUUAAAAAAAAAAAUCAAGUUAAAACCUUAUAAGAGAGUGUAAAAGAAGCGCACAUUCAAUGUUUAGCAAUUUUGCAGUUUACAUACAUGUGAAUUAAUAAUAAGCAUUGCAUCCUAUUUGUUCUAACAUUACAAUUUGACUAUUUUUUGGAACUAAAAGAGGAUUGAUAUACUAGUUUAAUUGUAUUUUCAACAAGACAAAAUAUAAUUAACCUCAAAUUAAAACAGACAAUCAAAAAUAAAUUUUAAAUAUGUCACUCUAUAUUUUUAUCAAUAUCAGCUAUUAUUAUUACUUCCUCUCAAUUUUGUCAAAGAUAACAAUAUAAAUAAAAAAUUGUUUUCCUUAACCCAUAUCAAAAACAUAAAAUAACAAAGAAAUAAAAAUCAUCACAAAUAUCAAAUUAACAACAAAAGGUCUACAAAAUCAAGAGAUAUUAAAGAGAAAAUAGAAAAAACUUUUAAACAAACAUACCUUUUAAUUUCAGCUAAUUAACACAACCGAUGUUAUUAAUUAACCAGAGAAUAAUUGAUUUUUGUUUUUCUAAAUUUGAGAGAAAAGUGAGGCACAAUACAAGAUUAAAAAAAAAACAAGUUUUUUUCCUUCUGCUUUUAAAGAAAAGAAAAAACUGUUGACCAACGGCUAUAAAAAUAGUCGUUGCCAACGGUAACUUUAUUUUAGCUAUUUCUACAGAAACAUGUAGAAAUAAUUUUUCACAUAUUGAAUAACCAUUUUGGCUAUUCUUUUCCCUACUGCGCUGGAGUUGUAAAAAAUAAAAAAAAUUAAAAGUACACGUUUUUAAAUUUAACUCUUCAUUUGGCUCUCCAGUGGUUGGAGAUGCUCUAAAUAGCCAUCAUGGCCGCCCAUAAGAAAAAGAAAGAGAGCUUGAGAGUAUUCUAGAAUUGUCAGGAAAAAACCUUAAGAAGCUUUAGAAAAAAACCAAGAAUUAGAGUGAGAGAAGUGAGAUUUUGUGAAAUUGAACACUUAAUAACUCAUUUAAGAGAAGAAUGAAGGGGGAAAUAGUAAAGGGAUAAGGAGAGAAGGACGACAAUCUUGGAGGAGAAAGAGAAGUUGAAAGACUUUUGAUUAGUAAGUGGUGAAAACUCAAAUCUUUAUUUAGUAAAGUAUUUAGACAUAAUGAUCUGUUCAACCACUAUGAAACAAAAGAAAAGAAAAAACGAUAACACAGAAUCAAUUUGCAAGAACAAAGGAUUUUAUUUGAUACUUGCUAUGUGAAUACUUCACUGAUUACAUCCCCUUUUACGUGGGUUCCCUAUCUCUAUAUAUAGAGUCUAGGCUUACUAUAGUGGGCAAUCCCACCAAAUCAGGUUGACUCAUUCCUAUGGAACUAGUCUUUCUCCACUAUCUUUCUCCACUGUAUGGGGACGUGGGAUACUAACCAACUAGGCUAAUCUCGUGCCGAGAAUUACUCUUGCCUAGACUGAUUCUUCUCAUGGCUUAUCUGCAUGGCUUCUCUGCAUGGCUAGUCCAGGUGUCAACCAACGAUCGUCCCAGAUCAUGACUCCCCUUGUUAGGACGAGCCAGCUCCUGCUGGUUCUAGAAUUGGAGGUGAGGAAACUGAGCUUGGCCAGUUUCCCGGGAGAACCAUUUUGCCUUACUUGGACGUUGACCUUUACUGCCAAUGCGGAAAGAUUCUCUUUCACCACGUCGAGUGGUAGUUGUUUUCCUUUCCACGAUAGUAUCUUCAGAUAGGAUGAUUUCCUGUUCAGUUACUAAAUCUUCCACCGUAGGUAGAGUUCCAUCGGGCUCAUCGUCCAGCAUGGAAGGCUCAAAGAGUUUCAAUUUGUCAACGUUGACCACAGAAUACAUCUCCAUGUAAGCUGGUAACUCCAAUUGACACGCAUUAUCACCAAUCUUACGAAGGAUUUUGAAUGGUCCAUAACGGAUUGGCUUGAGUUUCUUUCCGACUCCACGCAGUCGGUCUUUGCCCAGGUGCAACCAAACAAGGUCACCUUCUUGGAAAUGACCUUGGACGCGAUGUCUGUCGUGACGCUCUUUAUACUUUUGUUGAGCCUUUGUGAGCUGCUGCUCCACUUCCGAAUGUAUCUUCCUAAUUUGAUCCACAAACCGUUGUGCUCGUAACCUCUCGCCUUCCCCUUUAUCUAAUGUAGAGUUUGAUUCAAUUGUGAAUUCCAAGUCAAAAGGGCUCUGUGGCAAGAAACCCAAACACACUUCUGCGGGAGACUUGUUUGUUGAACCAUGUACGGCAUGAUUAAUGGCAAACUGCAGGAAGGGAAUGCUUUCAUCCCAAGUUUUGGGGUGACGAGCAUUGUAUCCUCGUAGAAGGUGAACAACAGUCCUAUUCACCACUUCGGUUUGUCCGUCAGUCUGAGGAUGGAAUGCGGUACUUCUUUUCAACUUAGUGUCCAUCAUGGCCCAUAAAGCACACCAAAAUUUGCUUAAAAACCGGCUGUCUCGAUCAGAUAUAAUCGAGUUAGGGAGACCAAAUAAUUUCCAUACAUUUUCAAAGAAGAGGCGUGCUGCUCCAUCACUGGUGAUCGUCUUUUUGCAGGGUAUGAGUACCACCAUUUUGGAGAAUCGAUCGACCACCACAAAUAGAUAGUCAUUACCUCGCCGGGUCAUUGGAAGGCCUCCCAAGAAAUCCAUAGAAAUACUCUCCCAUGGGCGUGUCGGAACAGGUAGUGGGGUAUACAAUCCCACCUUACGAUUAGCAGGUUUAGAUGUGCUACACAGUACACACCCUCUUAUGAAACGAGCCACAUCAUGUUGAAUCCGGGGCCAGAAAACAUAACGAGACAAAUUUUGUAAUGUUUUUGUGACCCCAAAAUGACCAGCAAUUUUGGAUGUGUGUGCCUCCCGUAUGUAUCUCACCCUUUCAUCCGAUCGGGGUAUGCAUAAGAGUUUCCCUUUGUAUAGAAGGCCAUCUCGUAGCAUGAACUCUGACGGUCUACUAGACAGCACCUCUUCCCAUGUGCUUUGAAAGUCAGGAUCUUCUUUAUACCAAUCAACAUACUCCUCAUGUAAAGCCGGAUGCACUUGCAUAAAAACUGAUAAACAAAUUGCUGUCACUGGAGGUCGUGACAACAUAUCUGCCAACUUGUUAUGGCUGCCUUUCUUGUACUUUAUCACCAAGUGAAAUUGUUGUAGGUAUGUCAUCCAUUUCAUGUGUCGGGCUUGUUGUAAUCGAGCUUGUGACUGUAAGUACUGUAAUGGCUGAUGGUCUGUGUGGACCACCGUUUCUUUGCCCAGAAGAUAAACACGCCAAUGUUUCACUGCUUGGUGUAGUGCUAGGAGCUCUUUGUCAUAUGUUGGAUAGUUCUUUGCAGCGCCUUGAAACAUCUCGAGCUUGUGACUGUAAGUACUGUAAUGGCUGAUGGUCUGUGUGGACCACCGUUUCUUUGCCCAGAAGAUAAACACGCCAAUGUUUCACUGCUUGGUGUAGUGCUAGGAGCUCUUUGUCAUAUGUUGGAUAGUUCUUUGCAGCGCCUUGAAACAUCUCUGAAUGGUAGGCUACUGGUCGUCCUCCUUGCAUCAAAACGGCUCCCAUUGCAUAUCCUGAUGCAUCCCCCUCAAUCUCGAAGGGUUUUUGUAAAUCCGGCAAGGCAAGAACUGGCGCUUCGCUUAUCUUCCUCUUCAAUAAUUGGAACGUGUCCUCAUGUGCCUUAGUCCAAACAAAGGCUUGGUUGGCCUUAGUCAAGGAAUGGAGAGGAGACGCCAGAAGAGAGAAAUUUUGAAUGAACUUACGAAGGUAUUGGCAUGCACCCAUAAAGCUUCGGACGUCUGUGACCGUACGAGGUCGUGGCCAUUCCGUGAUCACUUGAACCUUAGCAGGAUCAACUUGCAAUUCACCGCCACCCACGAUGAAUCCAAGAUAAAUUAAGGUUUUUUUUUCCAAACUCACAUUUCUUGCGGUUUAGGCGCAAGUGAUGUUCUUCUAGGACGGCAAAUACCUGUUGCACAUGUACGAGAUAUUCCUCCAAAGAGCAACUGUAGAUCAAGAUAUCAUCGAGAUAGACGAUGACAAAGUGAUCAAUGAAGGGCCGGAGAACAUCAUUCAUGAGUCGCAUAAAUGUUGCUGGGGCAUUACAAAGACCGAAUGGCAUGACCAACCAUUCAAAUAAUCCUUGUCGUGUUUUGAAUGCUGUCUUCCAGGAAUCCUCCUUGCGAAUUGGAACUUGAUGAUACCCCGAUUUCAGAUCAAGCUUGGUAAAGAUGGUAGCAUGACGUAGUUGAUCCAAUAGAUCAUCAAUACGGGGAAGAGGGUAUCGGUUCUUAACAGUAAUUUUGUUAAGUGCUCUGUAAUCGAUACACAUCCGCCAUCCUCCAUCUUUCUUCGGAACAAGCACAAUUGGUGAGCCGCAAGGGGAACUGCUGGGUUUAAUAACACCCGUGUCCAGCAACUCAGUUACUUGUUUUUUGAUCUCCUCAUUCUCCAGUACUGAAUUGCGAUACAUGCAAAUAUUAGGCAAUGUGGAGUCUGAAAUGAGUUGAAUUUCAUGCUCAAUUGCCCGUUUGGGAGGAAGUCCGCCUACUUCCGCAAACAAGUUUGUAUACUUGUUAAGUAACUCAUUCAACUUGUUGUCUAUUGCCUUACAUGAUAGUGUGAAACGAGAAGGUGUGACUUCAUCUGUUAGUGGUCGAAUCAUCAUGAGGACAAACUUCUGAGAUGCAUUUAUCAUUCUUCUCGCCUGGCAGGCAGUGACUAAGUCUGCCUUUUGAGAUGAUCGAUCUUUGUGGACAAUGUACGUCUUCCCAUCUUUCACAAGAUGAUAUUGUUGAGCCCGUCGGUGGUAAAUAGCAUCUCGUUCCCACAAAUAUGGAUUGCCAAAAAUCACUUGACAAAUAUCCAAAGGGACUACUUCACAGGUUACCUCAUCAAUAUAUUGACUAGUGAUAGCAAAACGAAAUCUGCACUGCCGAUCAAUCUUGAGUUCCACGUCCUUUUGUAUCCAUCCAAGUGGAUAUGGUUUAGGAUGUGGAUUUGUCUCAAGUCCCAAUUUUUGAACCAAACUGGCCGAGAUCAAAUUCUUUUGACUGCCAGUGUCAACGAUUGCAUCAAUGAUCUCUUGCUUCACUUGAAUUCGUAGGGUAAAAAGCUCCUCCUUCUCAUCAGGGGGGGUUAACAGAUUUGAGGUUGUCUCCUUCGGCAUUGCCAUCAAAGACAAACUCAUAUCCGCUUCCUCCAUCUGGUCGAGUUCAAUGUGAUCAUUGAGGAUUGUUGUUGUCAUUGUGCGCUUGCCCUUGUCGUCCUUUUUCCAUUUUGUAGGAAAAAGGUCAGGACGUAGUUUCCAGCACGUCGCUUUGUCAUGCCCCGAAACUCUACAAUGCUCACAAAACUUAGUAGAUUUGGAUACAGAUGAGGGGUUACCUUGUGUGAACUUCUUAAAAUUGUGGUUGCCACUGUUUCUCUCCUUGUCAUUGUCGGUAGGACGUUGCCCACGAGGUUUAUUCUUCUGUUCGAUAGCCAUAGCAAUGUUACUGGCAGCAGAGAUAUUAACGGCCUGAUAUAGCCGUAAUUCAUUUUGAAUGUGCUGCCAUAAGCCAGCCACAAAUUUCGUGAAGACAUCUUCGUGGUCCAGUCCAAUUCCCAGUGUAACUGCUAGUCUGCGGAAUUCGGUGGUGUAUUCUUGCACCGAUUGAUUCUGCCUCUGUCGCAAAUUGUGCCAUCGUGUCCAGCGAUCUUGAACAUAUCCCAUUGGGUAGAAUUCCUGUUGCAAGAGUUGAGUAAAUUCCUUCCAACUUAUCUCUCUAUCAUCGUUAUUCUUCAAGAAUGCAUUCCACCAGGCCAAUGCAUGGCUGGUUAAUUUCAAUCUUGCGAAUGCAACCUUCUCACCACUACUGAAACCAUAAAGUGUGAAAUAAGUCUCCAACUGAUCCACCCAAGAAUCUAGCUUCUCUGCAUCUAUGGUGCCGUCGAAUGUUGGUAUGUCUAUCCUGGCUUCAACUUUAAAAGGUUGAGGUCGUAUGCCAGUGACGAAUCGAGGGUGGGCAUCUUCAUCCUGGCUCUUUUCCUUUUCAGUCGUCAGACGAGCUCUUGGAGGAGAAAUGCCGUCAUCAACAUUCUUCAGUCCUAGUGAUGCCGAUGAUGAUGGUUGAGAUUGAAUCCAUUUUAGAACAGCUUCUAGUUGCGUGGUCAGCCUAUCAACCUUGUCUGAAAGGUUAGACUGAUCCGGUGUAACUUCUUCUUCUUCGCUUGACAUGCUUGAUGGUGUUGUGGCCUUCCUUGUUGAACGUCGAUGGGACUGCAAAACAGAGAGGGGUUCACCAAUUGUCUGAUAUCCAGACUUGGUCAGCACCAUUAACUAAAAGUUUUUCCACAGGGAGGAACGAUUGCUCUGAUACCAACUUGAUCUGUUCAACCACUAUGAAACAAAAGAAAAGAAAAAACGAUAACACAGAAUCAAUUUGUAAGAACAAAGGAUUUUAUUUGAUACUUGCUAUGUGAAUACUUCACUGAUUACAUCCCCUUUUACGUGGGUUCCCUAUCUCUAUAUAUAGAGUCUAGGCUUACUAUAGUGGGCAAUCCCACCAAAUCAGGUUGACUCAUUCCUAUGGAACUAGUCUUUCUCCACUAUCUUUCUCCACUGUAUGGGGACGUGGGAUACUAACCAACUAGGCUAAUCUCGUGCCGAGAAUUACUCUUGCCUAGACUGAUUCUUCUCAUGGCUUAUCUGCAUGGCUUCUCUGCAUGGCUAGUCCAGGUGUCAACCAACGAUCGUCCCAGAUCACAUAAUUAAACAUGUUUUACUAGAUUUAGUUGGUUUUGAUGGAAUUUUUAGGGAUUGAAGAUUAGGGUUCUUUAGAUGAGAAUUGAAUAACAUAAUUGUGAUAAACCAUGAAAAAUAAUGAGAAAGUGAGAAAUCUUGUUGAAAUGACGUGAAAAGAAAACAAAAUUCAUAGUGGAAAGAGAAGCAUGUGGCCGGCCAAAAGAGGGGACUUUUUUUAAAGUAUAGUAAUGUAUUAGAUAUUAGUGAAUUGGGCAUAAUUAGUGGAAAGUACGUAACAACCCCUCCCUCAAUUUGAUAAUUACCCAAAAACCAAAAUGAAAAUACACAAAUGCCCUUGCACACCCGUUUCUUUUUUUUUGGGUAUCUAGGGGUAAGUUUGUUAAUUCAAUGUGCAAUUAAAUAUGAAACGCCAAAAACAACCUUAGGUGGAUAGGUAUAUGUCAUCUUGUUUUUAAGGGUACAAACGUCAUUGCAAGAUGCAAAAAAUUUAUGUGAAAACCAAUAUGCUCUGCCCCUAGUUAAUUCAACAACGCCAAUUGAAUCGCCGUGUAAAUAUAAAAACACCCUAAAAAGCAAUAUUUUUCAGUUUUGUGAAGAAGACAUUAGAUGGGAUAACAUUGUUCUCUAGGACCACGGUGAAAUCGAUGCCUUUUAGUUUUUCUUAUAAUUAGUAAUUAAUUAAUUUUGCAUGAAGAUGAAUAUGGUAUGAUCGAAAAAACAGGAAUCCAAGAGAAGGAAACAAACCCAGGGAUUAACUUCUCGUUUGUGAAGCAAGCCUGACGUUUAUGUGAUUAAUUUUAUCCAAUUAAAAGGACGGAGACCGGAGUAGAAAUUAAAGAGCAUCAUCAUCAACGUCCAAGAAUGCAGCAAAUGGACGAGCCGCUUGCUAAGCUCCACCUACAAACAAACAAAAACUACUUGUUACAAAACAAGUCAAAGUACCAGCAAAAGACUUCUGUUUUUUUUGCUAGCUACUUCUUUCGCUAUAUAUACAUGUACCUGUAGCUUGCUCUUCCAUGGAUUGACUGUUUCCUUAACCAAUCCAAUUUAGCAAGCAUGACGAGUAACUUGGUAAUAAGCAGCCGCUGUUCCUUAUUCUUAACGUUGUUUUACUUGCUGGUUAGUGCCUCCCUUACAGCAACAUCAGCUCAAUGGGUAUGGCCGAAGCCAAGAACCCUGUCUUGGCCGAUCCCACUCGCCACUAUUCUCUCCCCAAACUUCACUAUCUCCUCCCCCUACCACCAACAUCUCUCCCCUGCAGUCAACCGUUACCGCCUCCAAAUCCUCACGGAGCACCACCGCCCUCUCGUUCCUCCCCCAGUCAACCUCUCCAACUCGUCCCCUCCUUUGCAGGCCCUGACCAUCACUGUCAAAGACCUCUCCGCCCCACUCCAACACUCCGUUGACGAGUCCUACGCCCUUGCCAUCCCCACUGCUAGCUCCACCGCCAAUCUGACGGCCGAGACUGUAUGGGGCGCCAUGAGGGGUCUGGAGACGUUUUCUCAACUGGUCUGGGGAUUGAAACCAUUGCUUGUUCCUGUUGGGCUCGACGUGUGGGACUCGCCUCUGUUUGAGCAUAGAGGGAUCAUGUUGGAUACCUCUAGGAAUUACUACCCAGUGGAUGACAUUUUGAGGACCAUCAAAGCCAUGAGUGCUAAUAAGCUCAACGUUUUCCAUUGGCACAUUACCGAUUCUCACUCUUUUCCUUUAGUGCUUCCAUCCGAGCCUGCUCUUGCUGACAAAGGGUCUUAUGGGAAUGACAUGCUCUACUCUCCAGCUGAUGUUGCAACAAUUGUUCGGUUUGGUUUGGAGCAUGGCGUCAGGGUUCUACCGGAAAUUGAUUCUCCAGGUAUAUUGAUUAUUUUCAUUAAUGCCCCAAGCUUAAUCAAUCGCUCAAUUCAUUAGGAGAUCGGGAAUAUAUAAUUAAUUAAUUAAUUACAUGCACUAGUGACUAGAGUAGCAAACAUCAUGCCACUACUGAUUUUGUCAAAUAUCAAGUUUGUUAGAUAUCUUUUUUUUUUUUUUUUUUUUUUGGGGGGGGGGGGGGUAAGGUUAGAUAUCAUGAUCAUGCAAGUUCUUGAUUAAUUUCCUCAGCAAAUUAUUAAUCUGGCAGUGCAGAUGCCGAACUCACUACCGGGACAUGGUGCCACAUUUGUUUAUCAGAUCAAACAAACGAUGCAUAUAUAUAUAUAUAGCCAGAAACUUCAUUUCCUAGCUAAAAUGAUAUGUGAUUGUGUACAGUAUGUAAUCCCUCACUCAAUCUACAAGUACCAGGAAUUUAGGAUUAAGCAUUUCUCCUAUAAUAUAUAGACAAUGUGUCAAUGGAUCAAUUUGGCACUGAUGCUGUAUAUUAUAUAUUUGGCUUUAGUUUGAACCUGAAGGUUGUUAGGUUCCCUUCACAGAUUUUCCUUGUUUUAAUGAAAGAGAGACAGUAACUUAAAUCAGCUCUAACUCAGCAUUUUAUUUGAUGCACUUAUUGUAAAUCUUAUUCAAAUUCGUAAAGCAUCAUCCUUAAUUGUAUUAAAAAAAAGAUAUAAAGAGACCAAGCGAUUUUGAAUUCGAAAAAGCUAGUUUCUUGCAGUGUGGUCCAGUUAAUGAUGAGAUUGUAAUUCUAUUCCACACUAACAUCAUCCUUUUUUCUCUCAUUCUAAGGCUCUUCUAAUGCCAAAUUAAGAGUUUCAAAAACUUAAUAUUUGUUCUUAUGUUUGAACUAGUAGAGUGUGAAAUGCAAAAGGAAUGUUAAUAAGAAAAAUGAACUGGUAAAAUCGUUUGAACCCACUGGGAAGAGUUGGUUUCUUGUAACUAUAACGCGAUGGAGGAGUGAAUAUAUCAUCCUUUUUUUAUCUGGUUCUUGAUUCAAAGGGUAUUUGAAAGACCUGACUUGUAGGAAUUAUUGGUAAUUGCAGCACAUACAGGAUCGUGGGCUGAAGCCUAUCCAGAUAUCGUGACUUGCGCAAACAUGUUCUGGUGGCCGGCUGAAAGCGAAUGGGCUGACCGGCUCGCAUCAGAACCAGGAACUGGCCAGCUAAAUCCUUUGAACCCAAAUACCUACCAAGUUCUAAAAAAUGUGAUUGGUGAUGCAGUUGCCUUGUUUCCUGAACCGUUUUUCCAUGCUGGAGGUGAUGAGAUCAUCCCAGGCUGUUGGAAAGCUGACCCGGCCAUUCAGUCCUUCCUAUCCAAAAAUGGAACUCUCAGUCAACUCCUUGAGAAAUUUGUGAACUCAACCUUCCCUUACAUUGUGUCCCUCAAUCGCACGGUGGUUUACUGGGAAGAUAUUUUGUUGGAUGCCAAUGUCAAGGUGGGCCCUUCAUUUCUUCCACCUGAGCAUACCAUCCUACAGACAUGGAAUAACGGUCCCAACAACACGAAACUGAUUGUUUCUUCUGGUUACAGAGCUAUUGUCUCAUCCUCAGAGUUUUAUUAUUUGGAUUGUGGCCAUGGCGAUUUUCCUGGGAAUGACAGCCAAUAUGAUCCACCACCAACAAGUGGUGACAGUGGCAAUGGUGGAUCAUGGUGUGGACCUUUCAAAACAUGGCAAACUAUAUAUAACUAUGACAUAGCAUAUGGAUUGACUCCGGAGGAGACCAAAUUGGUGCUAGGGGGUGAAGUAGCAUUAUGGUCAGAGCAAGCAGACCCAACAGUUUUGGACGUGCGGAUUUGGCCAAGAGCUUCAGCAAUGGCUGAGACUUUAUGGUCAGGGAACAGGGAUGAGUCAGGAAAGAAGAGAUAUGCAGAGGCAAUGGAUCGUUUAAACGACUGGAGACAUAGAAUGGUCAACAAAGGAAUCAGAGCUGAACCACUUCAGCCUCUCUGGUGCAUCAAGAACCCUGGCAUGUGCAACACAGUUCAUCCAAGUGAUUAGAUAAGUGUGGGAUUUUUGUUGACCUUGUAAUUUUCUGAAACUGAAUGUCCAAAUCGAUAUCCAUUUCUGCUAUCAGAACAUAGAUAUGCUGGAUAUGGAUUUGUGUGUAAACUUAUUUAAGAGUUACCGUAAUAAAAUUUAUUUUGAAUUGAAUUUUUAUCUUUGAAGACAGAAUGGAAUGGAGUAGUUUCAAGUUAAUGCGUCUUUCUUUUAUUUAAUCUAUGAUUCUAUUCAUUAGUUACAUUUAUAUCCCCUUCUUAUAUUUCCCACUUUGGAGACAGAAAAUUAUUGUCUUCUUUCGCAUUUGCACAUUCAUUCCUUUUGGUGGAAACCAGUUGUGUUAAUUGUCUGUAAGAUGCUUCAGAAUUGCUUUGUCAGUAAUACACUGUAUUUAUGUUCUAGUAAUUGACGCUAAUCAAAUUUCUUUCCUUUUUAAACUCCUCCAAGACACGUUCAUCUACUUGAUGUAGCCUGUUCUCUGUUUGGUGUCUUGAGGUUAUAUGCUUGCAUCAAAAGCAACAGAAAAAAUUCAAUCCAGAGAAAAAAAAUGGAAAAUAAAUAAAUAAACAAACAAAGUACCGAAGGAAACUUCCAAAGUCGUAGAUGAAGUUUUGUUGACCUAGUUUCAUUAGAAAGCUGUAGAAUAGAUGGAGUUUCUCUGUUUGCUACAAAAGCUAUCCGGUAACUAUUGUCUUUGCUACCUUGUUCACUUUAGUAACUGGUAUUAGAUCCCAGCCUCGCUUUUGGUUUUUCGAAUUUGUUCCUACUGGUGCAUUGUGUUCGGUUUUUCAAAAUAUAUAGAUCCAAUGAAAACAAUAAAUUAAAAUAUUUUUUUUAGAGUUCCAAUAAUCAGACAAAUUUAGAAUUGUUUUAGGGUCUUGUGUGAAGAUUACUUGAAGAUCAGAUAUUGUUUUCGACUUUGAAUAUUUGUUUCAUAGGCUAGGUUGUUACAAAUCACAAGUUGUCCAAUUAUUCGGCUUCUAAUGGUAAUCCACACGAACCACCACUGAAAAAUCUCUUAAACCCUUUUGGAAGAGAGAGAUUGUUAUAUCUUAGAGUGCUAACUCUGUUCUUUUGUGUUUUAGGUGUUUACGUACUAUACUCUACUUACAUCACCCCUUAGAAAAUAAGAGACAUAGCUUUUUAUUUAUAUAGAAAUUUGAAAACUCUAUAAAUGACAAAAUAUCAAUUUAUCCCCUAAUAAUAUCACGUAUAUUAUUUCAAGAUAAUUUUAGAAAUCUAUUCAAUCAAGUCCCUAUUUGAUUUUUCUAGAUUUUGAAUUGUAAUUUCCUAUAUAAAUUACAAUCUAGUUCUCAAUUUCUAAAACUUAUUUAUAAUCAAGUCAUACUUGAUUAAUCAUUCCAUUUUAAUUUUUGAUCAAUAGUUCUUAUGAGUGUUACUCAUUAAGUUCUCUAAUAAGUUGAUCCAAAUAUAAAUCAUAAUCCUUAAUAAAAUAGGAUUAGAUAAAUUACUUUAUUAUCAAUUCAACAAUUAAUUGAUUUAUAUUUAAAGAUCAAGUAUUAGAAAAGUCAUAAGUGGUUUGACUUAACAUUUCAGUGACCAGUUUCUCAGUGUAAUUAUUAUCUCUUCAUAAAUAAUGUUUCAAUUUAAACAUUAUAGCAUAGAGGGUGUCGACUAUGUCAAAUCAUGUUUGUUUUUAACACCAUAGUCAUUGAUUCUUUGAAUAAAAUUUAAAACUCUUUACAAAUUUUAUUCUAUAUUGUGCAAAGAUUUACAAUCAAUACUAUUUAAGAACAUAUGAAACACCUUUUCUAAUUCAUCAAGGGUGAUUAAUUAUCUCUUGAUUACUUAAAUACUUUCAUAUAGUUCAUGGUAUACUCAAUAUAUGCCAAUUUGUUACCAUUGAUUAGGAGAAAGUGUAAUGGGAUCAAAACAUAACACUCCCUAUAUAAGAUAACUUAGUGACCUCAAGUUUAAGGAUCACUUACACAAUCAUUACGUGAGCCUUUUUAUAAACACAUAUGAUCUUUCCCUGUGAAAUUCUUAUGCGAGUCAAUUCAGUGAAUAUGUCAUCUGACAAACAUCUAUAUAUUAGUUCUAGGUAUCCCUCAUUCCCCAACUUAUGAGAACAACUAUUUCUUUUCAUAAAGAAAAAAAAACAUAAUAUGUAUCAGUCUAAAUAGCUCUAAUUAAUAUUCAGUCUUAAUAGAGCAUUGUCCAAGAACAUUUUAUUAGGAAUAAUACUUUGAUGCAAUAGGGAUCUCAUAAUUAUAACAAUUUUAUAAUUUUAUUUACAAAGUAUUUUGUCCGAAGAACUUUAUCGUUACUCUAGAUUCAUUGAUCAAAUAUUUAAUUUAUUAAUCGAAUAUUUGAUGAAUAUUAAAUAUAAAUAAGGUUUUAUUAAUAAAGUAAAUAUAUUUACAUGAACAAAAUUAAUACCACAUAUAAUCAAUUGACUAGCUACAUGACAUAUACACCAACAUAUUAACCUUAAGUAAGAUCAAGGGAUCUGCAGGCUAUAAAUUUCAAGUAAGUGACAAUAUGGUAAUUGUGAACUUAAUUUUUUAAAAAAAGGUAUAGGUAAUUCUGCUAAUCAUUUUGGCAAUCAUUACUCAAGGCUUAAGUAAAUCAUUUUUAAAGUUAUGUUUUAUUUUCUUUGAAUGAAUUGUCCCUGUGCUUUGUAACAAAGAUUUUGCGUUGUUUGUAUUUCUGUUUGAGUGCAGAAUUCAAUGAAGAAGGUUCAAGAAUCAAUGGACAUAAAAGAAUACAUGCAAGGCCCAGCUGGUAAGAAAUUUAAAGCAGUGUCAAUUGUUGCAGUUUCUAAUAGAGUUCAUCCUCAUGAACGUGCAGCACUUCAGUAUUUUGACAGCAUACGUCUAAAUUCUGACCUCAUUGCGUCGUGUAUCAAGCAGAGCAGUUGUCUCCAAUAACAAUGGAUUUGUGGUGAUAUUGAUGUGCUUUUAGACAAAAGCUAGGGUCCUCUUGGCAUAAUUUCAAGGAAAUUGGAAGAGUCACAAGUAUAGACCUCAUUGAUUCCCUUGGGUUAAUACUUGCAGGCAUUGUCUGCAGUCAAGAGAACAUCACUAUAAUGAACGUAUGAUGUUUCCUGUCCGCAACAUAACCAGUCUAAUCUCACUGAUUGCACCGACAUUUGUUUUGGUAGUCUUUUGCUUCAUCGUCAACACAUGGGAUGAACCAAGCACCAUAAACACCACCACUUGUAGGGGAAGAUAUUUUUUGUGUUGUAAUAUAAUAUGUUUAGUCUAAGUUGAACAACAUAAGUAACACAAAGGAAAGCAAAUUCUGAACAGCCAGGCUAUUGUCAACAUAGACAAUAGCCUGAUGUCCUUGCUUUACUUUUUCGAUUAAUCUAUUAGAAAAAAUUAUGGAUGGUUGAGAUAUCCUUUCAGGAGACUGAGUGUCAGAUUGAUUUUCUGUUCUUUAUACUUUUAAUUAGGAACUAGAUAUAAUAAAUGGUGCUAACUCAAAAUGUUUACACUCAGGGUUUGACUUUACUUCUGGAUUCCGUAUUAGGUUUCGGCCUGCUGAUGUUAUUUGCUCUAAUGGAUUAUGAAUGCAACUGGAUGCGUCCAGUUGCAUAUUCCAUCCUUCAGUAUAGCACUAAUAACGUUUUUACUCAGGAUGGAGUGGUCAGAAUUAGUGAAUUUUUCGGACUGCUCAACAGGAUUAGCCUCUCGUGGAAAAUAGAGGCACUAGGGACUCGGGAGAAGACAGAGCACCCUUUUGACGCUGAUUAUUGAACAAUAAGUCUUGUUUCAGGCAAUUAGUAUUGCAGACAUUCUUGCAUGAGUUAAUAUGGGACAAUUUUCUUCAUUAAUCCCACCUAAUUUGACUUUUAUACUCCUUUGUUUGGAUCAUUUCUUCUUUUUAUUUUCUUGCACUCAUUAGCAACUGAAUCAUUGCAAUUUUAGAAUUUUCUAACCUUUCGUGUACAUGUGAGUAUCCCUCCAGGCUCACUAUAAAAUUGAAACAAGUGUAAAGGGAAAUGCUCCAAGUUAGUCUUAUCUCACCUUCUCCAGCGCCAUGAACUCUCCAAGUGUAGUAGCGGCAGCAAUGGCUGCUCUCAUGAUGUUUCUUUUACUCACUCCACCUUCUGAUGCUGCAAUUUCUUGCAGUGAUGUAAUCAAGGACCUGAGGCCUUGUGUGAAAUACCUCAUGAAUGGUACUGGGAAACCACCUGCUGCAUGCUGUUCAGGAAUCUCAGCUAUUCAAGCUACUGCAUCAACCACGG